This 341-nucleotide long non-coding RNA is filed under the name Homo sapiens (human). RNAcentral describes it as "HSALNT0320161". Lineage: Eukaryota; Metazoa; Chordata; Mammalia; Primates; Hominidae. The record is from RNAcentral.
AAAUUUUAUUUUGGCCAGGAGCUGAAGUUGGUUGUUUAGUAGUAGUAGUUUGAGUAGUGACCGAAGUAGUAGUCUGGUGUGUGGUAAUUGGGGCAGCUGUGGUCUCUUGUGGAGCUGGGGAAGACGGUGGAGCUGGUGUAGUUGCAGAAGGUGUGGGUGGGGCAGCUGUGGUCUCUGGUGGAGCUGAGGAAGAUGGUGGAGCUGGUGUAGUUGCAGAAGGUGUGGGUAGGGUUGACCACACUGCUAUUUUUAUCUGGAUGUUUAGGUGAAGGUGGAAGCUUAGGCCUACAGCGUUUGUGCAGACAUUUAUAGGACUUUCUAAUGAACGGCUUCUGGUGAGC